CCUACGGGGGGCUGCAGUGGGGAAUAUUGGACAAUGGGGGCAACCCUGAUCCAGCCAUGCCGCGUGUGUGAAGAAGGCCCUCGGGUUGUAAAGCACUUUCAGUGAGGAAGAACGCCUGGUGGUUAAUACCCAUCAGGAAAGACAUCACUCACAGAAGAAGCACCGGCUAACUCCGUGCCAGCAGCCGCGGUAAUACGGAGGGUGCGAGCGUUAAUCGGAAUUACUGGGCGUAAAGCGCGCGUAGGUGGCUUGAUAAGCCGGUUGUGAAAGCCCCGGGCUCAACCUGGGAACGGCAUCCGGAACUGUGAAGCUAGAGUGCAGGAGAGGAAGGUGGAAUUCCCGGUGUAGCGGUGAAAUGCGUAGAGAUCGGGAGGAAUACCAGUGGCGAAGGCGGCCUUCUGGACUGAAACUGACACUGAGGUGCGAAAGCGUGGGUAGCAAACAGGAUUAGAUACCCGAGUAGUC
Molecule: ribosomal RNA, 465 nt
Filed under: Vreelandella stevensii
Lineage: Bacteria; Pseudomonadati; Pseudomonadota; Gammaproteobacteria; Oceanospirillales; Halomonadaceae
Description: partial 16S ribosomal RNA
Rfam family: Bacterial small subunit ribosomal RNA
Source: RNAcentral